CUCUAUAGAGGGCUUUGUAGGACCACUGCACAAAAGUCCGGAGAGAA
This 47-nucleotide microRNA precursor is filed under the name Heligmosomoides polygyrus. RNAcentral's name for it is "microRNA hpo-mir-10143 precursor". The record is from miRBase by way of RNAcentral. Lineage: Eukaryota; Metazoa; Nematoda; Chromadorea; Rhabditida; Heligmosomidae.